This 253-nucleotide ribosomal RNA is filed under the name uncultured bacterium. Its description in RNAcentral is "partial 16S ribosomal RNA". It matches the Rfam family "Bacterial small subunit ribosomal RNA", at positions 524 to 776 of the family's 1533-position model. The record is from RNAcentral.
UACGUAGGUGGCAAGCGUUGUCCGGAUUUACUGGGCGUAAAGAGCGCGCAGGCGGUCGUUCAAGUCGCGUGUGAAAGCCCCCGGCUCAACUGGGGAGGGUCACGCGAUACUGAUCGACUCGAAGGCAGGAGAGGGAAGUGGAAUUCCCGGUGUAGUGGUGAAAUGCGUAGAUAUCGGGAGGAACACCAGUGGCGAAGGCGGCUUUCUGGUCUGCUCUUGACGCUGAGGCGCGAAAGCUAGGGUAGCAAACGGG